Gymnogyps californianus (California condor) is the source of this 964-nucleotide long non-coding RNA. RefSeq lists it as uncharacterized. The transcript is spliced from 3 exons. The record is from RefSeq and is a predicted model, not a curated record. Lineage: Eukaryota; Metazoa; Chordata; Aves; Accipitriformes; Cathartidae.
AUUCAGAAGGCAGCUGACUUCUCCAAAGAGCUGUAACAGGUCAAACAUACAGCCAGGAUUUCCAGUCCACUGAACCACAGUGCGUAGGAGGGCUCCACUGUGAACAUGUGGCAUGAAGAGGUCACUUGAUCCUGAAAAAUGCACAGAAUCCAUCUUCAUCCUCUGUUUUUAAUUAAAUUUUCCAUUUAUUGAUAAUGCAUGUGGGAUCUGAUCCAAACACUGGAGAGCUGAAAUCUUGAGUACCAACUUCUACUUCUUGUUCAGGACUCAACUGAAAGCUUUUCUGAGAAACACCUCUCUUUUCUGAAGAAGAAAUCUGCUCAUACCUCACCAUUUUUACUGGAACAACAAAACAUGCUUUCUUUGAUUUUUGCAAUUGUCAUAAAAGCACAUGUGACAGCAGAGUCACAAAUUAAGACAGUAAUUAGAAACUGAAUAUAAAAUAUGCACUAGCAGGUUUCCCCCUUUGAGAAAGCUUGAGCUGCAUGUGACAGAUCCUAGUCAUGUUGCUCUGUAUGUCAUUGGUGCCGUUGUUAUGGGUGUAAGAGACAAAAUACAAUGGAAUGCAUAAGUACCAUUUGGGCUAUAACUCUGAAGGACAAUGUGAUGAGAUGAAGGUAGAGCAUUAGCUGUAUAUGUCAAUGGUCUUGCUUUGAUUGCUUUGUGUCAUCAUCAUCCUAAAAUUACGUGAAAAACAGCAUUUUUGGGGUGAGUAGUGUUAAUGUAUUUUACAGUGUGAUUGAUUUAGCAGAAGGUACUGCAAUACAAUCUGACUUGCAACAGCAGAAACUGAAACCGGAGAAGGGCAUUUCAUUUCCGGCAGACAAAAGCGGUGAUUUCCAAGACUUCCUGAGUUCCUGUGCCUUGAUUUGGUAACAUUUUGUUGAUUUGACUGUGGGUUAUGAUUUGCAAUAGCAAAAUAGGUAAGUCUUGUACUGGCAAAAUCAUUAAGGGAUAAUUUUGG